Molecule: long non-coding RNA, 586 nt
Filed under: Homo sapiens (human)
Lineage: Eukaryota; Metazoa; Chordata; Mammalia; Primates; Hominidae
Description: non-protein coding lnc-DYDC1-7:1
Source: RNAcentral
AUGUUCAGUUCAAGCACCAAGAUCAUGAAGCCCAAUGGUGAGAAGCCAGACAAGUUCAAGUCCAGCAUCUCCAGGGUCUUCUGGAGCUGAAGAUGAACUUGGAUCUCAAGGCUCAGCUCAGGGAGCUGAAAAUAACAGCAGUCAAGAAACCUGAAGUUGAUGGUGGUCAGGAAGCUUAUUAUAAUCAUUGUUCCCAUUCCUCAGCUGAGUUCUUUCCAGAAAAUUCAAGUCCAGAUAGUACAUGAAUUGGAGAAAAAGUUCGGUGGGAAGCAUGCUGUAUUUAUUGCUCAGAGGAGAACUCUGCCUAUGCCGACUUGAAAAAAAUGAUACAAAAAAUAAGCAAAAGUAUCCCAGGAUCUGCACCCUAACAGCCACACAUGAUGCAAUCCUUGAAGACUUGGUCUGCCCAAGUGAAAUUGGGAGCAAAAGAAUCUGUGUGAAACCGGCUAGCAUUCAGCUCAGGAAAGUUCAUCGGGACAAAGCACAGCAGAACCACGUGGGGCACAAGGUUGAAACUUUUUCUGGUGUCUACAAAGAUCUCCUGGGCAAAGGUGUUAAUUGUGAAUUUCCAGAGUUUCCACUAUAA